AUGAAGCCGGAAUUGCUAGUAAUGGCAGGUCAGCAUACUGCCGUGAAUACGUUCCCGGGCCCUUGUACACACCGCCCGUCACACCAUGAGAGUUGGGAAUACCCGAAGCCUGUGAGCUAACGUAAGAGGCAGCAGUCGAAGGUAGAAUCAAUGAUUGGGGUGAAGUCGUAACAAGGUACC
Molecule: ribosomal RNA, 180 nt
Filed under: uncultured bacterium
Lineage: Bacteria
Description: partial 16S ribosomal RNA
Rfam family: Bacterial small subunit ribosomal RNA
Source: RNAcentral